UACGUAGGGUGCAAGCGUUAAUCGGAAUUACUGGGCGUAAAGCGUGCGCAGGCGGUUUUGUAAGUCUGUCGUGAAAGCCCCGGGCUUAACCUGGGAAUUGCGAUGGAGACUGCAAGGCUUGAAUCUGGCAGAGGGGGGUAGAAUUCCACGUGUAGCAGUGAAAUGCGUAGAGAUGUGGAGGAACACCGAUAGCGAAGGCAGCCCCCUGGGUCAAGAUUGACGCUCAUGCACGAAAGCGUGGGGAGCAAACAGG
RNAcentral lists this ribosomal RNA (253 nucleotides) under uncultured bacterium. RNAcentral's name for it is "partial 16S ribosomal RNA". It matches the Rfam family "Bacterial small subunit ribosomal RNA", at positions 524 to 776 of the family's 1533-position model. The record is from RNAcentral.